RNAcentral lists this ribosomal RNA (253 nucleotides) under uncultured bacterium. Its description in RNAcentral is "partial 16S ribosomal RNA". It matches the Rfam family "Bacterial small subunit ribosomal RNA", at positions 524 to 776 of the family's 1533-position model. The record is from RNAcentral.
UACAGAGGGUGCAAACGUUGUUCGGAAUUACUGGGCGUAAAGCGUAUGUAGGCGGUCGAAUAGGUCGGAUGUGAAAGCCCUUGGCUCAACCAAGGAAGUGCAUUCGAAACCAUUCGGCUUGAGUCCCGGAGAGGAAAGUGGAAUUCUAGGUGUAGAGGUGAAAUUCGUAGAUAUCGGGAGGAACACCUGUGGCGAAAGCGGCUUUCUGGACGAGGACUGACGCUGAGAUAAGAAAGCGUGGGGAGCAAACAGG